UACGUAGGGCGCAAGCGUUAUCCGGAAUUAUUGGGCUUAAAGAGCUCGUAGGCGGUUUGUCGCGUCUGCCGUGAAAGUCCGGGGCUCAACUCCGGAUCUGCGGUGGGUACGGGCAGACUAGAGUGAUGUAGGGGAGACUGGAAUUCCUGGUGUAGCGGUGAAAUGCGCAGAUAUCAGGAGGAACACCGAUGGCGAAGGCAGGUCUCUGGGCAUUAACUGACGCUGAGGAGCGAAAGCAUGGGGAGCGAACAGG
Molecule: ribosomal RNA, 253 nt
Filed under: uncultured bacterium
Lineage: Bacteria
Description: partial 16S ribosomal RNA
Rfam family: Bacterial small subunit ribosomal RNA
Source: RNAcentral